RNAcentral lists this long non-coding RNA (1666 nucleotides) under Malus domestica (apple). Its description in RNAcentral is "long non-coding RNA (MDOM_LNC006915)". Lineage: Eukaryota; Viridiplantae; Streptophyta; Magnoliopsida; Rosales; Rosaceae. The record is from RNAcentral.
AAUGACGCUCAACUAAAAGUAGCACACGCUGCGAGGCUGCUCGGCUCGUGGCUUAUGUUGCCUUGGUUAGCUCGGCUUGCGGCGUUUGAAGGUGAGGGAGUCCCUUUUAUAGAAUAAGGGCUCACUCCUCAAUACAUGAAUGAUAUGCUAGAGUUGAUGCUCUCUAAUGGUGGUAAGGGAGUCCCUUUUAUAGAAUAAGGGAUCGCUCAUCAAUAUAUAAGUAAUGGGCUAGAGUUGAUGCUCGUGGCGAGGCGGUUGCUCAGUAGGCGGCGAUGCUCUCUAAUGGUGAUGAGGGAGUCCCUUUUAUAGAAUAAGGGCUCGCUCCUCAAUACAUAAAUGAUGGGCUAGGAGUGAUGCUCGCGGUGAGGCGGUUGCUCAGCUGGCGGCGAUGCUCUCUAAUAGUGAUGAGGGGGGCCCUUUUAUAAAAUAAGGUUUCGCUCCUCAGUACAUAAAUAAUGGGUGCUCUUUAAUGAAAGUGAAGGAGUCCCUUUUAUAGAAUAAGGGCUCGCCCCUCCAUACAUAAGUAAUGGGCUAAGUCCCCCGAGUAUUUUUCAUGAGGUCCAGUUGAGGCCCAAUAUAUGGUGUAUAGUGUAGUCCCCCAAGUUUUCAGUCAAUAGAGUAUGUUGGCUGGAGACUUCAUAUUGAAUCCAUGUAUGGGCCGAAGUGGCGGUGGUUCCGAGGCGGUAUUUGUAUACCUUGCAUUGAAGCUUUGUAAGUGAAGCUUUGAAGCUAGAGCUCUGCAAAUGAAGCUUUUGAAGCUAGAGCUUUGUAAAUGAAGCUUUUGAAGCUAGGGCUAUGUAAAUAAAGCUUUUGAAGCUGAUUGACAUGAGUGAUGCUCAUGGAUGUUGUCAUGAGUGAUGCUCAUGAAUGUUAACAUGAGAGAUGCUCAUGAAUGUUGACAUGAAUGAUGAUCAUGAAUGUUUAUGUUUGAUUGUCAUGAGUGAUGCUCAAUAAUGUUUAUGUAUGAAUGAUAUGAGUAAUGCUCAUGUAUAAUUUGGAGUAUUAGGCGUACUUUUGAUCACCUGGUUGGUGGCAUGAAGAAGAGUACGGGUUGUACAUUUCAUCACCUGGUUGUGGCAUGAAUGGCUAGUUGCCAAAUUAGAGUACGGGUUGUACAUCUCAUCACCUGGUUGGUGGUAAUAGCGGCGGGUUGCCGAAUAAUUUUUAGAGUACUGGGCGUACUUUUGGUCACCUGGUUGGUAGUAAUAGCGGCAGGUUGUCGAAUAAUUGUGGAGUACUGGGCGUACUUUUGAUCACCUAGUUUGUGCUAUUUUGGGCUUAUGGGCCUUCGCCCUCCACAACAUGCUAGCCCAAUUCUUUUGGGCUUUGCCCCUUUUUUUUUUUUAUUUAUUUAUUUUUAGUUACCCUCUGAUGGGGUUUAUACAUAUUACCCUCUGAUAGGGUUUAUACAGAUGUCUUCGAAAGAUAAAAAUAAAUCUCAUCAUACAAAAACAAGAAAAGUAGAUUACAUCAUUCUGGUAGCGUGUUUAUUCCUUGCUUUUGCUUUCUCUUUUGCUUUCUGCUUUUAUUUUUUUCUCUUUUCCACCGCACUGCAUUUAUUAUUCUCUUGCUGAGGUCCAAGUGCAUUAGCCUUUGCAGAUGGCAGACAAAAGUAAAGUGAAGUUCUCUUUACUUUGCUUUACUUUGCAAAUUGCAAGUGGCGGGG